This is a long non-coding RNA of Pundamilia nyererei, 541 nucleotides long. RefSeq lists it as uncharacterized. The record is from RefSeq and is a predicted model, not a curated record. The transcript has 2 exons. NCBI's taxonomy places the organism in Eukaryota, Metazoa, Chordata, Actinopteri, Cichliformes, Cichlidae.
AGGAGAGGCACUGAGGUGUAACUUUUGUUUCUCAUGGCAGAGUGACCUCUGUACUCCUACAAGCAUCCAGACCUGUCCGGCAGGACAAAAUGCCUGUGCUGAUGUUAUAUUUCAAAGCGUCAGCGCUUCGUUCCGUCAGUGCAUGAACAUGGCGUUGUGUCAGAGCUACGUCACAACACCUGGUGCGAUCGCCCAAUGCUGCAGCACCGACCUUUGCAACUGAUCCUCUUCCUUUAAUCUCAGGACCACAUGAUCGCUGAUUCCUGAAUCAAGACUGGAGGUUGUUAGCUUCAUAUCCUUCUUACACUCUAUCAAGGGCACUUCUGUUUGCUUUCUCUGUGAUGGUAUGUGUGUGUAGCUCUGUACACGUGUCAUUUAAUUCAGACCUGACACAAAAACAAACCAGUGAGCUUUGACUCUGUCACUAGAUGGCAGUGGCACACUGUACAACACAACGAGCAGCUGCUGCAUAUAUGUGUGUUUUCAUAUGUGUGUAAGAGCUUUAUUAAAAGACAAACAGUGAAGCUGAGUGACAUUUUGA